UUGACCUCAAAUCGGGUGAGACUACCCGCUGAACUUAAGCAUAUCAAUAAGCGGAGG
Molecule: ribosomal RNA, 57 nt
Filed under: Russula sp. N21
Lineage: Eukaryota; Fungi; Basidiomycota; Agaricomycetes; Russulales; Russulaceae
Also listed under: 7 other names
Description: partial 28S ribosomal RNA
Rfam family: Eukaryotic large subunit ribosomal RNA
Source: RNAcentral